ACACUGCUGAAGAGUCCCACAAUCGAACGAAAUGGCCGUCCAGUAA
Molecule: non-coding RNA, 46 nt
Filed under: Schistosoma curassoni
Lineage: Eukaryota; Metazoa; Platyhelminthes; Trematoda; Strigeidida; Schistosomatidae
Source: RNAcentral